Molecule: long non-coding RNA, 2144 nt
Organism: Carya illinoinensis
Lineage: Eukaryota; Viridiplantae; Streptophyta; Magnoliopsida; Fagales; Juglandaceae
Exons: 4
Source: RefSeq, a predicted model, not a curated record
UUAUUUUUCUGAAUAUUCUUAUUCGUUUCUCUCUCCAAAACCAAACUCGUUUUCUUUUUUGUCUCUUCGUCUUCUUUCUUCUUUAAUUCUUCUGAUAUGUUCUCUUCAUCUUCGUGUUUGCAUCUUUAGAUUUGUUUCCUGUAACAUUUUUUUUUUUUUUUUGCACGUCGUGGUAGAUGUCACCGAACGAAGGCCAUCACCUCCCAAUCUCCUCCACUACGCCUUAGAUGCUGCGGAUUUGGACCCACUGCAACUCAACACUCAUUUCUCCAACAAAAACCAAACCCAUAGAGAGAGGGAGAAUGCGAGGCUUCCGAAUGUGUUCCUAGGGUUCGAUGAAAACCACCUCUCCACGGUCAACGGCAGCUAGCUCGACAAAAACUCUACUGAUCAGAUGCUUAGAGAUUAGCACAAGCAAGCGAAAGACGUUUUGAUCUCUCUUGGAGGAACAUUUUUUGCUUUAAACCCUCUCGAGAAUGUCACAGGGAAGUCACUUGUAGGGGUAGAUGGGUCUAGCUUUAUUUACUUCAUUCAAAAUGGGUUGUGUGGUUAUUGGGACAGAUUGACCGACGAGUUUAUGAUAAUAUUUGUAUCUUGGGCAUUGAUCCAGGCCUAGAAUCAUUUAGCGACCACUUUGGAUAUAGAAUGAGGAGAUAUGUAGAUCAGAAGGCACUUCUCAAGAAAGAUGAAGGAGGUCUUGAGGAAUUUUCAUGAGGUUAUUAGCUUUUAGGAGAUGUGAAAAUUCCUUCAUUUCCACUUUAUUUUUCCAUUUGUGCAUGGAGAGUUGUUAAGAAGUACUAAAAAAUCUAUAUUUAACAUUACAGGUGCCUAUAAUAAAUAAAUUACUCUACUUACAAGUGCUUAAAAUAAAUAAUUUUGCUCCAAGAUGGAUUGGUAUGUAUUUUUUUAUAUACAAUCAAAAGCAUCAUGUUGAGUGCAUAAGUUCUUUUACUUGCUUCCAUUUUCGUUUAAUUGGUUAUCCAUUGGCCUCUAUUAGGUUCAUAUCCUUUCUAGGUUAAGCAACUUAGCAAAUUCUUUUACCUGCUUAGUAGUUUCUUCUUCAAUAUAAAACCUCAUUUUUUGCUUCAUUCAUUCUAUAGGUUAUCUGAAGUUUGGAUUUAACAAAAAAAAAAGGUUGAAUUGUGUACUGUGAGUGGGCUUCUGCUGUUCAGUGGGUUUGUAAAGUUUCAAGUAUAAAGUGAUUAUCUUUGCUGGCUAUUGUACAGAUCAAUUGUUUCUUAGAAGUUCGAUUUUCUAUAAUGCAGAGAAGCACAACUCAUUGUUUGCUUCAUUCAUUCUGUAGGUUAUCUUAAGUUUGAAUUUAAUAGAGAAGAAGGUGGAAUUGUGUACCGUGAGUGGGCUCCUGUUGUUUAGGAAGCGCAACUCGUUGGGGACUUUAAUGGAUGGAAUGGUGCCAACCACAAAAUGGAAAAGAAUCAAUUUGGUGUUUGGAGUUUAAGACUUCUUGAUUCUGGUGGAAACCCAGCAAUUCCCCACAAUCAAGAGUCAAGUUCCGAUUCCAGCAUGGUGAUGGAGUUUGGGUUGAUCGCAUCUCUGCUUGGAUUAAAUAUGCCACUAUUGAUCCUACAAGAUUUGGAGCACCAUAUGAUGGUGUGUAUUGGGAUCCACCUCCUUCAGUAAGCUUUAUGUACCGACAUGCAGCCAAAAACAAUGUUGCUGCAAUGUUGCCAUUUGCAGCUCAAGUGAUAAGUAGACUUAUUUCCAAGAGGCAAAUGAACUAAAAUGUAAAGCUAUCAUCAAGGAAAAUUGUUUGACCUAUGUUGUUCUAAAUCCUGAUGGCCGGCAGCAGCAAACUGUAGAGCUUUGAGGGCUCGAAAUGGUCUCCCACUACACUCAGAUCCAUGCCUAGCAUCGUUUCUACAUCAAAGUUCCAAAGUGAGGGUCACAUCAUCAGCAACGUAAAUGAGUAGCAUGGGAUUUAGCAUGCAAGAUGGGUUUUUUUUUAUGUUUAUUCAUACACUUGUUUUCGGUAGCCUCUUUUAAAAAAUAAAAUAAAAAUUUUGUUUAUAUUAUUUCAGAUUUUCUUUUAUCUAUGAUCAUUUCACUAUCUAAGUAAAAGGAUGCCACACAUGCUUCCUUCAACAUCAAUGUCAUUCUUUCCUUCUCUCUUUUGUUUUAACCCC